GGGGGUAAAUCCUUAGAGCCCCCAGCGUGGCCGUGUUAAUAGUGGUGUCUUUGGCCGGGCAUCAUGGUUAGUGAAUC
Molecule: non-coding RNA, 77 nt
Filed under: unclassified sequences
Description: L13-Bacteroidia ribosomal protein leader
Rfam family: L13-Bacteroidia ribosomal protein leader
Source: RNAcentral